This 492-nucleotide ribosomal RNA is filed under the name uncultured bacterium. RNAcentral describes it as "partial 16S ribosomal RNA". It matches the Rfam family "Bacterial small subunit ribosomal RNA", at positions 30 to 507 of the family's 1533-position model. The record is from RNAcentral.
AGUGAACGCUGGCGGUAGGCCUAACACAUGCAAGUCGAACGGCAGCACAGUAAGAGCUUGCUCUUACGGGUGGCGAGUGGCGGACGGGUGAGGAAUACAUCGGAAUCUACUUUUUCGUGGGGGAUAACGUAGGGAAACUUACGCUAAUACCGCAUACGACCUACGGGUGAAAGCAGGGGAUCUUCGGACCUUGCGCGAUUGAAUGAGCCGAUGUCGGAUUAGCUAGUUGGCGGGGUAAAGGCCCACCAAGGCGACGAUCCGUAGCUGGUCUGAGAGGAUGGUCGGCCACCUGGGAAAGUGAAACGCGGCAGAGCGCCUAAGGGAGGGACCAGGGGGGAAAUUUGGGAAAAGGGGGGGAACCUUGAACAACCCAUCCCGGGGGGGUGAAGAAGGCUUGCGGGUUGGAAGCCCUUUUUUUGGGAAAAAAAAGCAGGCGGUUGAGACCCCGCGGGUUUGGCGGUAACCAAAAAAAAAGCACCGGCUAACUUCGUG